UUCCAUUUUCAGAUUUUUGUUCUGAGGAC
RNAcentral lists this non-coding RNA (29 nucleotides) under Mus musculus (house mouse). Lineage: Eukaryota; Metazoa; Chordata; Mammalia; Rodentia; Muridae. The record is from RNAcentral.